GGGUCGUUAGCUCAGUUGGUAGAGCAGUUGACUUUUAAUCAAUUGGUCGCAGGUUCGAAUCCUGCACGACCCACCG
Molecule: transfer RNA, 76 nt
Filed under: Klebsiella pneumoniae
Lineage: Bacteria; Pseudomonadati; Pseudomonadota; Gammaproteobacteria; Enterobacterales; Enterobacteriaceae
Also listed under: 2 other names
Description: tRNA-Lys
Rfam family: tRNA
About the family: Transfer RNA (tRNA) molecules are approximately 80 nucleotides in length. Their secondary structure includes four short double-helical elements and three loops (D, anti-codon, and T loops). Further hydrogen bonds mediate the characteristic L-shaped molecular structure. tRNAs have two regions of fundamental functional importance: the anti-codon, which is responsible for specific mRNA codon recognition, and the 3' end, to which the tRNAs corresponding amino acid is attached (by aminoacyl-tRNA synthetases). tRNAs cope with the degeneracy of the genetic code in two manners: having more than one tRNA (with a specific anti-codon) for a particular amino acid; and 'wobble' base-pairing, i.e. permitting non-standard base-pairing at the 3rd anti-codon position.
Source: RNAcentral